UUCCGACUCCUCUGUCUCCUAACUAGACAGUUUGAGGUUCAGUAACCGCAACCCCCAAACCGGACGGGGUGGGCAAUUUCAAAAAUUGGUUCAAUUGGGAGGUCAAAUUUGCGUGCGGUGCUAUUUAGCAUUGGGUUCGUGAUGCUUUGCUCUUUCUGAAUGAGUCCAAUUAGGGUUUCGGGUUUCUAAAUUGAUAUCUGCUUUAAUAAUUUGGGGGUCACAAGAGAGGAGGAGGAAGAAAAGUGUUUGAAUUCAAUAAUUUCUUUCGUGGUGAUCUGGUGUUGUACCAGUUGAAGACCAAUUCGGGAUUCAUGUGAGAGUUGAUAACUGGUCACCAUUUGAUGAGCUAUUAACCCAAUGGAUCCUGAAGGAGCAAAGUUUGGAAGAGGACCAAGAGAGCUUACUAAUUCUGUAGAUCUCAUACUCACAGCAAAUUGCAUGCAAACCUUGAGUUGAGUUUGUCUGCAAGCGUACCCAGUACCCUUCAUGUAUCAAUUCCACUACCAGUCUUUGUUUACCCAUUCUGAAGUUAAAGUGAUACAUCAAAGCUAACGGGAAAAGGGGUUUUUUUUUUUUUUCUGGAGUUGUUUGGUUUUACCGCUUUUAGUUUAUUCACCUU
RNAcentral lists this long non-coding RNA (619 nucleotides) under Fragaria vesca (wild strawberry). RNAcentral describes it as "long non-coding RNA (FVES_LNC004845)". The record is from RNAcentral. Lineage: Eukaryota; Viridiplantae; Streptophyta; Magnoliopsida; Rosales; Rosaceae.